CAAUAGCGUAUAUUAAAGUUGUUGCAGUUAAAAAGCUCGUAGUUGGACCUUGGACCUGGACAGGCGGUCCGCCUCACGGCGAGUACUGUCUUGUUGGGUCUUUCCUCUUGGGGAUCUGUUGUUUCGGCAGCAGGGAACCAGGACCUUUACUUUGAAAAAAUUAGAGUGUUCAAAGCAGGCUCGACGCCGGAAUAUAUUAGCAUGGAAUAAUAAAAUAGGACGUGCGGUUCUAUUUUGUUGGUUUUUGGAAUCGCCGUAAUGAUUAAUAGGGACAGUCGGGGGCAUUAGUACUCACAUGCUAGAGGUGAAAUUCUUGGAUUUUGUGAAGACUAACUUCUGCGAAAGCAUUUGCCAAGGAUGUUUUCAUUAA
This 370-nucleotide ribosomal RNA is filed under the name uncultured eukaryote. RNAcentral describes it as "partial 18S ribosomal RNA". It matches the Rfam family "Eukaryotic small subunit ribosomal RNA", at positions 592 to 976 of the family's 1831-position model. The record is from RNAcentral.